AACGCACCUUGCGCUCCUUGGUAUUCCGAGGAGCAUGCCUGUUUGAGUGUCAUUAAUAUAUCAACCUCUUCAGCUUUUGCUUGUUGAGUGUUGGAUGUGGGGGGCCUUUUUGCUGGUCUUUUCAAGAGGUCAGCUCCCCUAAAAUGUAUUAGCGGAACAAUUUGUUGACCGUUCAUUAGUGUGAUAAUUAUCUACGCUAUUGACGUGAGGCAGUUCAGCUUCUAACAGUCCAUUGACUUGGACAGUUUUUCAUUAAUGUGACCUCAAAUCAGGUAGGACUACCCGCUGAACUUAA
RNAcentral lists this unclassified non-coding RNA (295 nucleotides) under uncultured Cortinarius. RNAcentral describes it as "sequence contains ITS2". The stretch from base 1 to 52 matches the Rfam family "5.8S ribosomal RNA", at positions 103 to 154 of the family's 154-position model. The record is from RNAcentral. Lineage: Eukaryota; Fungi; Basidiomycota; Agaricomycetes; Agaricales; Cortinariaceae.